Molecule: ribosomal RNA, 341 nt
Filed under: Escherichia coli
Lineage: Bacteria; Pseudomonadati; Pseudomonadota; Gammaproteobacteria; Enterobacterales; Enterobacteriaceae
Description: partial 23S ribosomal RNA
Rfam family: Bacterial large subunit ribosomal RNA
Source: RNAcentral
GGUUAAGCGACUAAGCGUACACGGUGGAUGCCCUGGCAGUCAGAGGCGAUGAAGGACGUGCUAAUCUGCGAUAAGCGUCGGUAAGGUGAUAUGAACCGUUAUAACCGGCGAUUUCCGAAUGGGGAAACCCAGUGUGAUUCGUCACACUAUCAUUAACUGAAUCCAUAGGUUAAUGAGGCGAACCGGGGGAACUGAAACAUCUAAGUACCCCGAGGAAAAGAAAUCAACCGAGAUUCCCCCAGUAGCGGCGAGCGAACGGGGAGGAGCCCAGAGCCUGAAUCAGUGUGUGUGUUAGUGGAAGCGUCUGGAAAGGCGCGCGAUACAGGGUGACAGCCCCGUAC